CUCCUACGGGAGGCAGCAGUGGGGAAUAUUGGACAAUGGACCAAAAGUCUGAUCCAGCAAUUCUGUGUGCACGAUGAAGGUCUUCGGAUUGUAAAGUGCUUUCAGGUGGGAAGAAGAAAGUGACGGUACCACCAGAAGAAGCGACGGCUAAAUACGUGCCAGCAGCCGCGGUAAUACGUAUGUCGCAAGCGUUAUCCGGAAUUAUUGGGCGUAAAGCGAGUCUAGGCGGCUUGUUAAGUCAGAUGUGAAAAUGCGGGGCUCAACUCCGUAUUGCGUUUGAAACUGGCAGGCUAGAGUACUGGAGAGGUGGGCGGAACUACAAGUGUAGAGGUGAAAUUCGUAGAUAUUUGUAGGAAUGCCGAUAGUGAAGACAGCUCACUGGACAGAUACUGACGCUAAAGCUCGAAAGCGUGGGGAGCGAACAGGAUUAGAUACCCUGGUAGUCCACGCCGUAAACGAUGUUCACUGGGUGUAGGGGGUCGAACCUCUGUGCCGAAGCUAACGCGAUAA
RNAcentral lists this ribosomal RNA (510 nucleotides) under uncultured bacterium. Its description in RNAcentral is "bacterial SSU rRNA". It matches the Rfam family "Bacterial small subunit ribosomal RNA", at positions 336 to 863 of the family's 1533-position model. The record is from RNAcentral.